UGUUUGCAAAAGAAAACAGAAAGACAUAUCCACGAUUGAAAAAUGAAACUCUAUUCUGCCAUUCGUUUCAUAAUGCUAAUUGCCCUCUUUGCAGCAAAUAUUUUUGGAGUGCAUAAUCAUUUGGUCAAGGCAGACGUGGACUAUCCGGUAACACGAAAUUUGAGAGCCAAGCCAAGUUCUCCACCUCCUCCUAGAAGAGCAUCACCUUUGCAAUUUAAAAGUCCUCCACCUUCUCCAAGAAGAGCACCACCGCCUGUGCACUGUAAAAGUCCUCCACCACGUCGUUCUAGAAGAUCGCCGCCUCCGCAACAUAAAAGGGCUUAUCUGCCACCACCUCCUUCUAUACGCUUUUAACUUUCAAGUUGAUUUUCUAUACGCUGUUCAUCUAUAUGUUGUGACAGUGUUCAUGUAUGCUAGUUAUAAAUUUGUGAGUGAACAUCAUAAUUGAGUUUGUUGAAUUUUUAUGGGUGUGUGGAUGUAAAGCUUUUAUAAAAGUUUAGUUGAUUCUGUUCUUAA
Molecule: long non-coding RNA, 516 nt
Organism: Morus notabilis
Lineage: Eukaryota; Viridiplantae; Streptophyta; Magnoliopsida; Rosales; Moraceae
Exons: 2
Source: RefSeq, a predicted model, not a curated record